RNAcentral lists this ribosomal RNA (533 nucleotides) under uncultured bacterium. Its description in RNAcentral is "bacterial SSU rRNA". It matches the Rfam family "Bacterial small subunit ribosomal RNA", at positions 777 to 1308 of the family's 1533-position model. The record is from RNAcentral.
AAUAGAUACCCUGGUAGUCCACGCCGUAAACGUUGGGCGCUAGAUGUGGGGACCUUUCCACGGUUUCCGUGUCGUAGCUAACGCAUUAAGCGCCCCGCCUGGGGAGUACGGCCGCAAGGCUAAAACUCAAAGGAAUUGACGGGGGCCCGCACAAGCGGCGGAGCAUGCGGAUUAAUUCGAUGCAACGCGAAGAACCUUACCAAGGCUUGACAUAACCGAGAACACCGUAGAAAUACGGGACUCUUUGGACACUCGGUUACAGGUGGUGCAUGGUUGUCGUCAGCUCGUGUCGUGAGAUGUUGGGUUAAGUCCCGCAACGAGCGCAACCCUCGUCGCAUGUUGCCAGCACGUCAUGGUGGGAACUCAUGUGAGACUGCCGGGGUCAACUCGGAGGAAGGUGGGGAUGACGUCAAAUCAUCAUGCCCCUUAUGUCUUGGGCUUCACGCAUGCUACAAUGGCCGGUACAAAGGGCUGCGAUGUCGUAAGGCGGAGCGAAUCCCAAAAAGCCGGUCUCAGUUCGGAUUGAGGUCUGC